CCCAAGGGCAUUUUAGUCCAAAAUUUUUUCAGACCAUGUUUUUGAAAUUAUAAAAUUAUCUAUAAUUUUUUUUAAUUUUCUAGGCAGAGAGAUAACUAAUUUUAAUUUAUCAUGUCUGAAAUGAUGAAAAUUUAAUAAAUUUAUCGAAUGAUGUUAGAAAAUUCUGAAAAAUUAUAGAUAAGUCUAGAAUUAUUAGAUCAAAGGGGGUGAAGCUCUUUUUUUGAGUUUUCAAGACAGCAAAGACUCUAUACUCUCUAAAGUGCCAUUAUGUACAUAUCGAAAAAUAAUUUUAAAAGUUAUUUUCUUUCAAAAAAAUUCAUAAUAAAUUAUAGACUACUCAAAAAAAUAUGAUUCCACUUCUGAAAAUUUUUUUAUUUUAUAUUUUUUCUGUCAUAUGCUUUAAUUAGUUUAAAAAAAAUCAUAUAUAAUUUAUCACUAAUACAUGGUUAUUUGUUUUAAGUUAGAAGAUGGUUCAAAUGAUAAAGACUCGGGAGGUUUUGAGAGGAAUGAUUGGAGAGAUAAAAUGGGCACCUAUCAAGGAUUGUAGGAUAAGUCUCGAACAUGAUAUUGUGUAACAUAUUGAAAUUAUUGAAAAAAAUAUUUGAGAAAUUAAAAAAAUAAAUGGUAUAUUGUUAUAAAUGGUAUGAAGAUCAGAAUCCUACUUAAAUCUUUACCAUAUGAGUGGUCUGAGAUACUAUGAAGAUCGUUUGACUCAAAUGAGAGUCUGCGUUAUGACAAAAUCAUAACUAUUUUCAAGAUAAAAUAUGAAGAGAGUCAUUUUAUUAUUAUGAGAGCAGCU
Molecule: long non-coding RNA, 799 nt
Filed under: Elaeis guineensis (African oil palm)
Lineage: Eukaryota; Viridiplantae; Streptophyta; Magnoliopsida; Arecales; Arecaceae
Description: long non-coding RNA (EGUI_LNC018827)
Source: RNAcentral